Molecule: ribosomal RNA, 479 nt
Filed under: uncultured bacterium
Lineage: Bacteria
Description: partial 16S ribosomal RNA
Rfam family: Bacterial small subunit ribosomal RNA
Source: RNAcentral
GAUGAACGCUGGCGGCGUGCUUAACACAUGCAAGUCGAACGAAGCACUUUAACAUGAUUCUUCGGAUGAAGGUUUUUGUGACUGAGUGUCGGACGGGUGAGUAACGCGUGGGUAACCUGCCUCAUACAGGGGGAUAACAGUUAGAAAUGACUGCUAAUACCGCAUAAGACCACAGAGCCGCAUGGCUCGGUGGGAAAAACUCCGGUGGUAUGAGAUGUAGCCGAGUCUGAUUAGGUAGUUGGUGGGGUAACGGCCUGCUAAGCCAACGAGCAGUAGCCGACAUGAGAGGGUGACCGGACACAUUGGGACUGGGACACGGCCCGAACUCCCGCGGGAGGCAGAAAUGGGGAAUAUUGCACAAUGGGGGAAACCAUGAUGCAGCGGCGCCGCGUGACCGAAGAAGUAUUGCGGUAUGUAAAGCUCUAUCAGAAGCGAAGAAAAUGACGGUACCUGCCUAAGAAGCACCGGCUAAAUACGUG